This 719-nucleotide ribosomal RNA is filed under the name Enterobacter sp. 266(2010). RNAcentral describes it as "bacterial SSU rRNA". It matches the Rfam family "Bacterial small subunit ribosomal RNA", at positions 62 to 771 of the family's 1533-position model. Lineage: Bacteria; Pseudomonadati; Pseudomonadota; Gammaproteobacteria; Enterobacterales; Enterobacteriaceae. The record is from RNAcentral.
UCGACGGUAACAGGAAGCAGCUUGCUGCUUCGCUGACGAGUGGCGGACGGGUGAGUAAUGUCUGGGAAACUGCCUGAUGGAGGGGGAUAACUACUGGAAACGGUAGCUAAUACCGCAUAACGUCGCAAGACCAAAGAGGGGGACCUUCGGGCCUCUUGCCAUCAGAUGUGCCCAGAUGGGAUUAGCUAGUAGGUGGGGUAACGGCUCACCUAGGCGACGAUCCCUAGCUGGUCUGAGAGGAUGACCAGCCACACUGGAACUGAGACACGGUCCAGACUCCUACGGGAGGCAGCAGUGGGGAAUAUUGCACAAUGGGCGCAAGCCUGAUGCAGCCAUGCCGCGUGUAUGAAGAAGGCCUUCGGGUUGUAAAGUACUUUCAGCGGGGAGGAAGGCGAUGCGGUUAAUAACCGCGUCGAUUGACGUUACCCGCAGAAGAAGCACCGGCUAACUCCGUGCCAGCAGCCGCGGUAAUACGGAGGGUGCAAGCGUUAAUCGGAAUUACUGGGCGUAAAGCGCACGCAGGCGGUCUGUCAAGUCGGAUGUGAAAUCCCCGGGCUCAACCUGGGAACUGCAUCCGAAACUGGCAGGCUUGAGUCUCGUAGAGGGGGGUAGAAUUCCAGGUGUAGCGGUGAAAUGCGUAGAGAUCUGGAGGAAUACCGGUGGCGAAGGCGGCCCCCUGGACGAAGACUGACGCUCAGGUGCGAAAGCGUGGGGAGCAA